CGAUGAAGCCCAGCUUGCUGGGUGGAUUAGUGGCGAACGGGUGAGUAACACGUGAGUAACCUGCCCUUAACUCUGGGAUAAGCCUGGGAAACUGGGUCUAAUACCGGAUAGGAGCGCCUACCGCAUGGUGGGUGUUGGAAAGAUUUAUCGGUUUUGGAUGGACUCGCGGCCUAUCAGCUUGUUGGUGAGGUAAUGGCUCACCAAGGCGACGACGGGUAGCCGGCCUGAGAGGGUGACCGGCCACACUG
RNAcentral lists this ribosomal RNA (248 nucleotides) under Micrococcus sp. RNAcentral's name for it is "partial 16S ribosomal RNA". It matches the Rfam family "Bacterial small subunit ribosomal RNA", at positions 67 to 315 of the family's 1533-position model. The record is from RNAcentral. Lineage: Bacteria; Bacillati; Actinomycetota; Actinomycetes; Micrococcales; Micrococcaceae.